Molecule: long non-coding RNA, 282 nt
Organism: Gadus macrocephalus (Pacific cod)
Lineage: Eukaryota; Metazoa; Chordata; Actinopteri; Gadiformes; Gadidae
Exons: 3
Source: RefSeq, a predicted model, not a curated record
AGGUGCCAUGGAAGAUUUCGCCCCUGAUCCCAAUCAUCCAGGUCCUCCUCCUGAAACUGGCAUCCAAGGUGGCGUGGAAGAUUUCGCCCCUACUCCCAAUCAUCCAGGUCCUCCUCCUGAAACUGGCAUCCAAGGUAAACACAUUCCAUCUGAGAGGAGGCGCUGUGUUAAGAGACCGUGGUCAGACACUGAAGCAAAGGCUGUGAUGAGGCACAUGGAGCCAUACGUUCGCAACGGACUUCUCGUCACGAGCGCUCAAUGUGCCAUGUGCAAAAAAAAGAA